AACGCAGCGAAGGGCGAUACGUAAUGUGAAUUGCAGAAUUCAGUGAAUCAUCGAAUCUUUGAACGCACAUUGCACUCUCUGGUAUUCCGGAGAGUAUGCUUGUUUGAGUAUCUGUAAACAUCUCAAAUCUCUCGACUUUCGAGUUUGAGAGAAUUGGACUUGAGCAAUCCCAACUCCUUCGUCAGAAAGAGGAGGGUUGCUUGAAAUGCAGGUGCAGCUGGACAUUCUUCUGAGCUAAAAGCAUAUUAUUUAGUCCCGUCAAACGGAUUAUUACUUUUGCUCUAGCUAAUAUAAAGGUCGAAUGUGCUAUAUGCUGACUGAUGCAGGAUUACCAAGUUUUACUAGCUAAAACUUGUAAACUCGAUCUCAAAUCAAGUAGGACUACCCGCUGAACUUAA
This 398-nucleotide ribosomal RNA is filed under the name uncultured fungus. Its description in RNAcentral is "eukaryotic LSU rRNA". The stretch from base 1 to 113 matches the Rfam family "5.8S ribosomal RNA", at positions 42 to 154 of the family's 154-position model. The record is from RNAcentral. Lineage: Eukaryota; Fungi.